UUUUCCAUUCUACGUCCCGUGAUGUAAUAAAAUCUAGUGUUACAAAAAGUUAUAAAAUAACAAAAAUAAGUUUCUUAUCAUUAAACAAGCAAUUUACUUGUCGAAGCCUUAGAAACUCUCUAGAAAACGCGGAAAAGGUGAUUGCCUAAAUACAAAGCGGACAUAAUUAAUCCGGUUUUUUAGUAGGAGUUUUUAACUAAUAAUUUGAUAUUUUUUAUUUUUUCUAUUUUUUUUACAUUUUUCAGUUAAAAAACAGUUUUUAUAUCUCUUGUUUAAAAGACGAUUUUUAAUUUUCUUUAAUUAGAAUCUAAGAAAAACUAAGAAUGUCUUUUAACAGAAGCUAAGAACUCCAGCUAAGAAACUAGAGUUAAUCAUGGUAUAAUCCUGAUCAAUGUCUUAGUGAUAAGUAUGUCUCUCAAUUCCUUUCACUAAACGUAAACAUGGCAUGUGCCACCUAUAACCACACAUACGACCACUUAAUUACUGAUAAUUAAGGAUUUCUCCAUUAUUCACAGUAUAAUCAUAUACUAUUAACAUCAUUUUCAAUUGUUUACUCUAUUUU
This 562-nucleotide long non-coding RNA is filed under the name Brassica rapa (field mustard). RNAcentral describes it as "long non-coding RNA (BRAP_LNC005252)". The record is from RNAcentral. Lineage: Eukaryota; Viridiplantae; Streptophyta; Magnoliopsida; Brassicales; Brassicaceae.